AGCGAACAGGUCAGGCCCUCCAGAUCCAGGACUCGAAUCCAAGCAGGCUUCUGACGGCAGCGUCCCCAGAGAUGCGACCGCCUGGCAGAUCUGUUGGCUCCACCUUCAAGACAUCUCUGGCAUCGGACACCCCCUACCUCCCAAGGCGUCCCCCUGCCCGCCCUUCACAGUCCACCACCCAGCAGCAGCCAGAGGGGCCCCCGUGAAACCGAGCCAGGACGCCCUCCGCUGCUGGGCCGCAGGAGGAUCGAAGCCCAGCCCGGCCCACAGGAACCUUGCCGGUGCCAGAAGACCAGCCUGCAGGCCCGAGGCUGCAGCCUCCCUGGGUGCUCCCGGAGAGGAGGAGAGAGGGCAGCACCAAGGCUGGCUUAGAGGUCCCCCCAGUACCGUCUCCAGCAGCCUCAACCCUGCUGGGGGUCCCCCUCUCAGGGCUGGUUUAUCCCUCCUUCCUGCCCUCCUCAGCUCUCCUGGUCCUUCCAGUGCUCCUGGCUCGGCGAUGCACAUCUCAGGGCACCCCAGCCCCUCCUGUGGGUCUUCCCUGCCUGCUCCAGCCCUCACCACCUGCACGGAGCUCCUGGGGGCGGGGCCGGUCUGUCCUGCCCUUGGACAUCCUCCCGGGAGACGCCCAGCACCAAACCAGCGCAGAGUCCACUGCCCCUGCUGCAUGGACCAGGGAGCCUUCUGGUGGGUCUGGAGGGAGGCCUAGCUGCUGGGUGCGGGUCGUGAUGGGCCCCUCCCCGAACUGGCCAGGGAGGGUGUGGGAAGUGUCCCUGUCGGACCCGGGUCAGUGGGGCUCCCCACCUGGGGCCCUGGGGAGGAGGCUGCCCAGGGAGGCUGGACGGGAGCUUAGCAGGAGCAGCCCCCUGCCACGGGUGGCGUGGGGCCCACCAGGUGGCAGCUGCCAGCUUCCCUCCCCACUGCCUAUGGUUUGGACUUUCUCUCCCAGGCCAGUGGUGAGGGGUGUUUCAUUACAGCUGGUCCCACCUGGCCUCCUCCACGUGGGCCCUGUUCCCGGCUCCUGCCUGGGUCCCCUAACCCGCGACAGCCCCACAUUCGGUGGGGGUCAACAAGGUGGGAGAAACCAGUCCUGGAUGGCACCACGGAGGGAGUGACAUUGGUGCUGGGUAUGGGAGAUGUGUAGGAAGGAAAGGAGCCUGAUGCUCCAGGUGGAGGGGCGGGACCAAGCAAAGGCCCCGAUGGCAGGAGUCCAGGGUGUGGGGUGUGCGGAUGUCACAGGGGAGGGGCGGUGAGUGCCCAGAGCAUCAGGCCAGGGAGCUUGGUUUAGAACUGAGGGUGCUGGGGAGCCAUAGAGUACUCUGGAGAGAGGGGAGUGGCCUACUCUGCCUAGAGGGCAAAGCCUGCCUGGCCACACAUCAGCCAUCAGGAAGCGCUCAGUGUAGUCCCACCCAUGGGGAGGACAUGGCACUUCACUGUAGGAGCUCCCGGCUGAC
RNAcentral lists this long non-coding RNA (1451 nucleotides) under Equus caballus (horse). Its description in RNAcentral is "lncRNA (ENSECAG00000046976.1)". Lineage: Eukaryota; Metazoa; Chordata; Mammalia; Perissodactyla; Equidae. The record is from RNAcentral.